UACGUAGGUGGCAAGCGUUAUCCGGAUUUAUUGGGUGUAAAGGGCGUGUAGGCGGGAAUGCAAGUCAGAUGUGAAAACUCAGGGCUCAACCCUGAGCCUGCAUUUGAAACUGUGUUUCUUGAGUGCUGGAGAGGCAAUCGGAAUUCCGUGUGUAGCGGUGAAAUGCGUAGAUAUACGGAGGAACACCAGUGGCGAAGGCGGAUUGCUGGACAGUAAUUGACGCUGAGGCGCGAAAGCGUGGGGAGCAAACAGG
RNAcentral lists this ribosomal RNA (253 nucleotides) under uncultured bacterium. RNAcentral describes it as "partial 16S ribosomal RNA". It matches the Rfam family "Bacterial small subunit ribosomal RNA", at positions 524 to 776 of the family's 1533-position model. The record is from RNAcentral.